AAAUUGAAGAGUUUGAUCAUGGCUCAGAUUGAACGCUGGCGGCAGGCCUAACACAUGCAAGUCGAACGGUAACAGGAAACAGCUUGCUG
Molecule: ribosomal RNA, 89 nt
Filed under: Escherichia coli
Lineage: Bacteria; Pseudomonadati; Pseudomonadota; Gammaproteobacteria; Enterobacterales; Enterobacteriaceae
Also listed under: 34 other names
Description: partial 16S ribosomal RNA
Rfam family: Bacterial small subunit ribosomal RNA
Source: RNAcentral